Molecule: non-coding RNA, 5831 nt
Organism: Podarcis lilfordi (Lilford's wall lizard)
Lineage: Eukaryota; Metazoa; Chordata; Lepidosauria; Squamata; Lacertidae
Source: the annotation of a GenBank genome assembly
GCAGCAAGGCAUGAGGAAUUAUGGGUAGCAGUAGCAACUGGGAAGGCAGCUACAGAAGGGCUCUCAUAAUUCGUGCAGACUUCAGUGCUAAAGUAGGACGGAAUUAGUACUGAUUUAGAGUAGGGCAGUGUAAAUGUGGUGACUGAUUGGAGUUGUUGUUUCUUUCAAGGUGGCCUGUAAGCAUACACAGUUACUGCCAUAAUGAAAUUAUCCUAAUGAAGGCAUUGGGUCACUUUUACUACUGGAUUAUCUAUUUUAUACGUACAGCUGGGAUGUAUUACCCUGAGUGGAGAGGAGACAUUUGUUAAAUUGAUUCGGCAGACUCAUUUUAUGUAUUCUUAGUAUAAGAGCUUCAGCUCUGAUUAAUAGGCCACGUGCAGUUGCCAUCUUAAGUUUCAAUACCAAAUAAUUUGUGACGCUGCUUAUUCAAUGAGGGAAGUUUUCAAAAUGCCACCUGCUAUGUUCCUUUAAGCCUUUCAAUGGCAAGCUAUUCUGAAGCACUCUAAAAUGAAAAUGUAUUUACUUUCCCCAUGCAAAUCUGAGAAUGAGGCACUUAUUUCCCCCUCCCCCAUUUUGUUCACUCAGCUUCUGUUUGCAUGUGUUGCAGAUAUAAGUUUGUGCUGGCUCUUAUCAAAUUAGGCUGAGUUCUGGACUAACCCAUCAGAUUGGUCCUCUUUGCCAACAACCUUUAUAUUUUAACAUGGCAAAAAAUAAUAAUAAAAAAUAAUAUAGCAUAUUAUUUUAAAUACACACACAACUGUUUGUGGGCUAUUUAAUCCAGAUUUUUAACAAAUUGUCUGGAGUCUGUACCCCAGUAUAACUAUCACAAGAUUGCUGAGCUUUCUACAGAACCUUUUCAUAUGGAUUAUUCAUAAGAAAGAAGGCAUAGAUGUUUGCAGCCAUCUCUUCAGGUGGCAUCUUGUCUUCAAGUCUGAUGUUUCUGCUAUUAAAAUACCAGGCUAGUGCACAGUAAGACCACUCAUUCAUGAUUGAGCACCAUGUGGGGUGGGGAGGAGUCACUGUUGAGGAAGCAUGCAUGAGAAGAUUGUGAUGUAAGGGUAUCUUCGCAUACAAGUGAUAAAUUUUCUGUUGCUUCCUCCAGUAGCUGUAAAUCUGCAUUGGCCAGAAUGCUCAUUUGCAUUACAAAUGCCCACUCCUCAGCUUUUCUCUUGAGCAGAGGUUAACAAUAAUAGUAUCUCAAAAGUGACUUGGAGUCUUGCGUGUGGAAACAGGUAACUGGUGCCAUCCCAGAACGCCUGCAGCACUAUCAUUUUUUGCAUUUUUGUGAAGGAUUUUACUUAUUGUACGUAAGCUACUCUGGGAGCCAAUCUUACCUGAAAUACAUGAUACAAGUAUGAUCUUAAGUACAUAUGUAUCUAAUAAAGCAAAGUUAAGGGGGUGUUGAAUUAAAACAAAGUUAGGGAGGUGGUACUCUUCUUCAGAAAAUAACUACUUUUCAGAGAAUCAAAACUGCUAAAUUGCUUCAGUUCAAUGCAUGUGCUCCUAUAACUGCACACAAAUGAAAUAACGUUUGCUUAGUAGGGGAAGAGACUUAGCUCCAGGCAACCUUGUGUACACGGAGAAAUCAAGUCCCUCACUUGUUACAUUUUGAUAGAUUUAAUCGUUCAUCUUUAGAAAUAGCGAUAGAAGCAUGCGGAGACUUGACAAAGUUUGCUGGUGGCUCAAAUCAAUGCCAAUGUCUGUGGCAAAAUAGAUUCAACGUCUACUUGUUAGAGUAUCUGUUUUUGUAGAAACUGUGCAGAAGUGAAGGGAGCUGGGAGGGGUGGUAUGCUGUGCUUCGAAACCUGCGCUGAGAGUGAAGGAAGGCCUGUGAAGAAAAAAAUCAAAGAUGCUAAUCCCAAGUACACCAAAAGCAAGUUUUGCUUAGGUUUUUUUAAAAAAUAAAAUAAAAAUGCAUCUGUAGUCACUUUACAUAUGUUGCGUGGCAUCCCAAUCUCCAAGCGGUGGAAGAUUCCAAGUGUUCCAGACAUGCUUACCCAGGAUCCAUGUUUCCUUUUGGAAAUGAGGCACAGCAGAGACUGUGGUAUCUUUAGGAUAUAUGGUUUCUUUACAGACAUGCAUAUAACCUGGCCUGCAAUGGAGGGCAUCACAGCAACAACACUCCAGUAGGGUCUUGCUUCUCCCAUAGGUACAGCUCUGGAUUCAAACCUGCAUCAGCCAUGGCUCUGACCCUCUCCUCAGCUUGCCGCCUUUAAUGGACUGCCACCUUUUCCCUCCCAGCCACAUUCCAGCCAACUCUAAACUCUGAAUACUGACUUUUGUUCUUCUAAUUAACUCUGAGCAGAGGGAGAGGUUCCACCCACUUGCUGUCUGGCAAAGAUGUUGCCUUCUUAAGGGGUCAUUACCUUCCCUUUCUUAAUGGCUCGUCUCCCAGGCAAUUCAAUAGAAUCUGUGCUGAAUCCAGGAAUUAGAAGGGAGAUCCAGGCAUUUAGCCUACCACCCACAAAACCCCUCAUAACACUUAAUAAUAACUUGAGAACAAGAAACAGUUACACGCAUGAACAGAAAGAGGCUGGAGUUUACACAGUUAAGGCAGACACUGGGUUACAGACAUUAAAAACGCACUGUUGGGCAUUUUCCAAAGUCCCUCCAGAAAGAAGCGUGGUGUCCUGGCUCCCUGGGAUGAGACACAUAAACUCAGAUGCUGAUGAUUUUCAGAAGCUUUAAUGCUCAAAUACAGUGCAUAUGCAAAUCACCAGUCAAAGACACAACAGGCAGUAUUCAUCAAGGAACACUAAGGAAGCUGGCCACAGCUAUUGCCAUAGUUGCUCCCAAACAUCAUUCUCUACUGCUUUAUUUCAACAGAAAACAAUUGUCUUUCUAAGCUUCCAUUACAUCUGUAAAGUGACAUUCAGGAAAGCUGAACUGUCAAAUGAAUAUUGUCUCCCCUGUGUGGUUAAGUUGUCGUCUGCCUGCUGGGAUGAAUUUGCCAACUGCUUUUGUGGAGAGAAAUCACUUGUAGUCAGUUCUAGUUCAUCAGCACAGCACGGGAGUAUAAGAGGCUAAACUUCCUCCUGCCUAUUUAGAUCAAUUUCAGUCUAUAUUGCUCACCAAUGUAAAGAGUGAGCAUUACUCUUGCAUCAUUGCUAGCGGGAAGAUCACAGAAAGUGAUGAAGGUCAUUUGCUGGUCACAGUCACAAUGUGACUUUAGGACCUGGAUGUAGACAAGGCCAAUGUAAGGAUGAUUGGCAGGUCCUUGUGCUAACAUUGACCAAAUUAAGCCUUUUUAAAGACUCGUCUGGCACUGUAGGAACAAUCCCCUGGAAAGGGGUGACUCACAUUAAAUUGGUUCUUCAGCAUCUGCACAGUCUCCACAGCGGCCUGAUUUGCACAAAAUGCUAAACCAUUGUUUAAAAUUAAACUAUGGCUUAGCCAGAACUCAUCAGAAGUCCCCAACACAUUCCCUCCCUGCUUCUUCCUAUGCUGCAGAGGAGGAAACAAACAAUAGGCUAGUUUGCAGGCUACCUUGUUUGUUUUCUCCUGCAGUGCAAAGGAGGAGUCGGGUGGAGAGCUCUGUGGUUUCCCUUGUUGCGGCGUAUAUACUAAGCUUGCUAUGUGCUCAGUUUAAAUCAUAAUUUAAUUUUCACUGUGGUUUUAAUGUGGUGUGCGACUGUUGCCUCUCUCCCGUCGUAUUCUCUUAGAUUUGCUGAAAACAUCUCAACUCUUUGACAAGCCCAGAGAGCAGGGAUACGCAGAGAGGAAUUGUUUGUGAAUCCUCUGCAGCUAAGGUAGCAUCCUUUCCUUCAAAACACACUCAAGCUUAUUUUUUUGGUUUGUUUGUUGUACUAGAUGCAUUGCAUGAUCACUUUAGUAGCACUCUUAUCUGAGGUUGGAUUUAAGCCGCCAAGUAAAAAGCAGAAUUCUAAAAUACAUUCCUUUUGAUUUUUCAUUUUUCAUUUGUGUUGGCAGUUUAACUCAUGCUGAGUCCUAGGGAUGGGGCAAGAUACAUAUUUCAAACUAUAGGAAGGAUAAAUUAGAACUAAUAUAAAAUGAAAUGCAGACUUUUAGGAUUCUUACUGAAUUGUUAGUUAGCAUAAUAAAGCAUAGCCAAUAAAGCAUACUCAGCUGGAGGAAUAAGAACUUUAAAAAAUAAUAAUUCUCAAGACUUUAAUAUUUUUGCUAGGACACAUUUCAAUUUUCUUUUCCCAAUAUUUCUUUUCUAGCUCUUAUUUCAUUUCCCUCUCUCAUCCCAUACUAUUGUUGCACAGUGAGGAAAAAAAUUAAUUUAGUCAGGUUGUUGUGCAGGGGAAGCUGAGAACACAUAGUGAAAAAUCUAUCUCAGUAUUUCCACAUAGUGUUUUCUGAGUUACACAACACUCCCCCAACCACCAUGCUCAAGAUGUUUAAAAUGGCCUCUCUCUCUUUCCCCCCCAAAGAAAUGUCUAGAAAGUUGUUGGGCUACCAAAUGUAGAUUUUAUUUGCGGAAGACUGACUUUCUUUCAAUAACUCGCUCUCAAAAGUGUUUUGCACUGGGUACCUCUGUAUAUAAGUACAGUGGUACCUCAGGUUACAGACGCUUCAGGUUACGUGUUUUCAGGUUGCGGAUUGUGGGAAACCCAGAAGUACCAGAAAGGGUUACUUCUGGGUUUCGCCGCUUGCACAUGUGCAGAAGCGCUAAGUCGCGUCACGUGCGUGUGCAGACACGGUGCUGCAGGUUACGAAUGCUGCGGGUUGUGGACGUGCCUCCGUCACGGAUUACGUCCGCAACCCGAGGUUCCACUGUAGUAUGCAGGGCCUGUGUCACAAAUAAAUAUAGCAGUCAGGAAGAAAGUACUUGAGAAGUAAUGGCUGCAGCCUUAGUCAUGAACUCACAGUAAUGUACAUAACCUCUUGUAGGUCAGGGGUGGGAAACCAGUUUUCUCCAGAUGUUGUUGAACCACAGCUCACAUUAGUCCCAGUUGUCCCAAUUAACAUCUGGAAGGUCACACGUCAUGUCCCCCCUCUGCUGUGGAAUUCACAAUUAGCGUGUAUGUGUGUUCUACAAAAAAAUACAUGUUAGUGAGUGUGAAAUAGUAGUUGGGCGACGAAAUAGUAGUUGUUUGACAAAAACUGAAAGAUGCUUUUUCAGCUAUGAAGAUCAAUGUAUUUCACCUUGAGCCAUCCACUGUCAGCCUAAUCCGACCUCACAGAGUUUAUUAUGAGCUCAACCGGGGGUAGAGAAAAGAACCUCAUAUGCUGUCUAGAGCUCCUUGGAGGUAGGAUGAAUAAAACUGCAAUGACUCCAAUAAAUAGCAUAGCAACAAGAAAUUCUUGCCCUUGUGUUGUUACAGAUGUGGCAUUGUCCACUGAUGUAGGUGGCUUUAAAAGUGGAUUUAAUAAAUACAUGGAGGUAGACAUCUGACUUUCAUGUAGAGCCUUAAAAUGCAACUCAUUAAAGCAUAGCAAACAGAACUGUGUAGCCAGCAUAAUUUACGCCAAGGUACAUUAUGCUGGCAUAACAUAGAGGGAAGUCUGCCCCUGCCCUGUGCCACCUCACCGCUCCCUCACAAUACUCCUUUUGAAAAGGAACUUAACCCAUCUGAGCUAGGAUUUAUGCCAGGGUAUCUCUAGCUGAGCUGGGAUGACAGACUUCAGUCGACAUAGUCCCACCUGAACCCAGGCUGGAGCUCUGCCUGUUCCAAUGUCUGCUCAUCCUGGCAGAUCUUAGGUUUGGAUUCCUCCCUAAAUUGUUGAAAUGUUAUUGUUUGCUGAAGUAACUCUUUGUAAAACAGCAAGUAAUGGUAUUCCGACGAUUCCAAAUCAAUUUAAUUUAGAAAAUGAUGGGAGCUCUUACUUGGGAACUGGUGUCUAAAGGGAAAAAGCAUCAUUAC